AACGGCCGUACCAUGCUGAAUAUACCGGUUCUCGUUAGAUCACCGAAGUUAAGCAUCAUUGGGUGCGGUCAGUACUUGGGUGUGUGACCACCUGGGAACACUGCGUUGCCGUU
RNAcentral lists this ribosomal RNA (113 nucleotides) under Caerostris darwini. The record is from RNAcentral. Lineage: Eukaryota; Metazoa; Arthropoda; Arachnida; Araneae; Araneidae.